RNAcentral lists this ribosomal RNA (303 nucleotides) under uncultured bacterium. RNAcentral describes it as "bacterial SSU rRNA". It matches the Rfam family "Bacterial small subunit ribosomal RNA", at positions 355 to 674 of the family's 1533-position model. The record is from RNAcentral.
UGGGGAAUAUUGCACAAUGGGGGAAACCCUGAUGCAGCAACGCCGCGUGGGUGAAGAAGUAUUUCGGUAUGUAAAGCCCUAUCAGCAGGGAAGAAGAAGGACGGUACCUGACUAAGAAGCCCCGGCUAACUACGUGCCAGCAGCCGCGGUAAUACGUAGGGGGCAAGCGUUAUCCGGAUUUACUGGGUGUAAAGGGAGCGUAGACGGUUUCAUAAGUCUGAAGUGAAAGGCCAAGGCUUAACCAUGGAACUGCUUUGGAAACUAUGAGGCUAGAGUGCUGGAGAGGUAAGCGGAAUUCCUAGU